UAGGGAAUAUUGCAAAAUGGGCGAAAGCCCGAUGCAGCAACGCCGCGUGGGCGAUGAAGGCCUUCGGGUCGUAAAGCCCUUUUUGAGGGGAUGAGGAAGGACAGUACCCUCAGAAUAAGCCUCGGCUAACUACGUGCCAGCAGCCGCGGUAAAACGUAGGAGGCGAGCGUUAUACGGAUUUACUGGGCGUAAAGCGCGUGCAGGCGGAUUGGAGAGUUGGAUGUGAAAGCUCCCGGCUUAACUGGGAGAGGGCGUUCAAUACUUCCAGUCUUGAGUGCAGUAGAGGGAAGUGGAAUUCCGGGUGUAGUGGUGAAAUGCGUAGAUAUCCGGAGGAACACCAGUGGCGAAAGCGGCUUCCUGGACUGUAACUGACGCUCAGACGCGAAAGCUAGGGUAGCAAACG
This 403-nucleotide ribosomal RNA is filed under the name uncultured bacterium. Its description in RNAcentral is "bacterial SSU rRNA". It matches the Rfam family "Bacterial small subunit ribosomal RNA", at positions 355 to 774 of the family's 1533-position model. The record is from RNAcentral.